UUUAUAUGAGAGUUUGAUCCUGGCUCAGGAUGAACGCUGGCGGCGUGCCUAAUACAUGCAAGUCGAACGAGUUCUGAUUAUUGAAAGGUGCUUGCAUCUUGAUUUAAUUUUGAACGAGUGGCGGACGGGUGAGUAACACGUGGGUAACCUGCCCUUAAGUGGGGGAUAACAUUUGGAAACAGAUGCUAAUACCGCAUAAAUCCAAGAACCGCAUGGUUCUUGGCUGAAAGAUGGCGUAAGCUAUCGCUUUUGGAUGGACCCGCGGCGUAUUAGCUAGUUGGUGAGGUAACGGCUCACCAAGGCAAUGAUACGUAGCCGAACUGAGAGGUUGAUCGGCCACAUUGGGACUGAGACACGGCCCAAACUCCUACGGGAGGCAGCAGUAGGGAAUCUUCCACAAUGGACGCAAGUCUGAUGGAGCAACGCCGCGUGAGUGAAGAAGGCUUUCGGGUCGUAAA
RNAcentral lists this ribosomal RNA (458 nucleotides) under Lacticaseibacillus rhamnosus. RNAcentral's name for it is "bacterial SSU rRNA". It matches the Rfam family "Bacterial small subunit ribosomal RNA", at positions 1 to 429 of the family's 1533-position model. The record is from RNAcentral. Lineage: Bacteria; Bacillati; Bacillota; Bacilli; Lactobacillales; Lactobacillaceae.